RNAcentral lists this ribosomal RNA (546 nucleotides) under uncultured Glomeromycotina. Its description in RNAcentral is "SSU rRNA". It matches the Rfam family "Eukaryotic small subunit ribosomal RNA", at positions 548 to 1098 of the family's 1831-position model. The record is from RNAcentral. Lineage: Eukaryota; Fungi; Glomeromycota.
UUGGAGGGCAAGUCUGGUGCCAGCAGCCGCGGUAAUUCCAGCUCCAAUAGCGUAUAUUAAAGUUGUUGCAGUUAAAAAGCUCGUAGUUGAAUUUCGGGAUCAGUACGUUGGUCGUGCCUUAGGUACGUACUGGUGUUACUGGUUCCUACCUUCUGACGAACCAUCAUGUCAUUAAUUUGGUGUGGCGGGGAAUCAGGACUGUUACUUUGAAAAAAUUAGAGUGUUUAAAGCAGGCUCGCGCUUGAAUACAUUAGCAUGGAAUAAUGAAAUAGGACGUUGAUCCUAUUUUGUUGGUUUCUAGGAUUGACGUAAUGAUUAAUAGGGAUAGUUGGGGGCAUUAGUAUUCAAUUGUCAGAGGUGAAAUUCUUGGAUUUAUUGAAGACUAACUACUGCGAAAGCAUUUGCCAAGGAUGUUUUCAUUAAUCAAGAACGAAAGUUAGGGGAUCGAAGACGAUCAGAUACCGUCGUAGUCUUAACCAUAAACUAUGCCGACUAGGGAUCGGAUGAUGUUAUUUUUAAUGACUCAUUCGGCGCCUUACGGGAAAC